GACGAACGCUGGCGGCGUGCCUAAUACAUGCAAGUCGAACGGAAUUUCUUUAACCGCUGGCUGUUACAGCGAGCGAAUGUCGGUGGCGAACGGGAGAGUAACAAGUCGGUAAUUUCCCCAUGAGUGGGGGAGAACAACUGGCAAUAGGAGCUCAUACCGCCUAAUUCCAUUUACCGCGUGGCAUCUGGCCGAACGGGGCUGUUGGAUCCGUUGUCGGAGGACCCGCGGUGCAUUGGAUAGUUGGGGGGGUGACGGGCUACCUAGGCUGCGAUGCAUAGCCGGCCUGGGGGGGUGGACGGCCACACUUGGACUGAGACACGGCCCAGAAUUCCACGGGGAGGAGCAGGAGGGAAUCAUCGGCAAAGGGGGGAAGGCUGACCGCACAACGCCGCGGGAGGGAAGGAGGGCUUCGGGUCGUAAAACUCUGUUGUUAGGGAAGAACAAGCAUGAGGGUGAAAAGUCCAUCCCUUGACGGUACCUAACCAGAAAGCCACGGCUAACUACGUG
This 507-nucleotide ribosomal RNA is filed under the name uncultured bacterium. RNAcentral's name for it is "partial 16S ribosomal RNA". It matches the Rfam family "Bacterial small subunit ribosomal RNA", at positions 28 to 507 of the family's 1533-position model. The record is from RNAcentral.